AAUGGGGGCAACCCUGAUCCAGCCAUUCCGCGUGAGUGAAAAAGGCCUUCGGGUUGUAAAGCUCUUUCGGCCGGGAAGAAAUCGCAUCUCCUAAUACGGGGUGUGGAUGACGGUACCGGAAGAAGAAGCACCGGCUAACUACGUGCCAGCAGCCGCGGUAAUACGUAGGGUGCAAGCGUUAAUCGGAAUUACUGGGCGUAAAGCGUGCGCAGGCGGUGAUGUAAGACAGAGGUGAAAUCCCCGGGCUCAACCUGGGAACUGCCUUUGUGACUGCAUCGCUGGAGUGCGGCAGAGGGGGAUGGAAUUCCGCGUGUAGCAGUGAAAUGCGUAGAUAUGCGGAGGAACACCGAUGGCGAAGGCAAUCCCCUGGGCCUGCACUGACGCUCAUGCACGAAAGCGUGGGGAGCAAA
Molecule: ribosomal RNA, 410 nt
Filed under: uncultured bacterium
Lineage: Bacteria
Description: bacterial SSU rRNA
Rfam family: Bacterial small subunit ribosomal RNA
Source: RNAcentral